GAUGAACGCUGGCGGCGUGCUUAACACAUGCAAGUCGAACGGAAAGGCCCAAGCUUGCUUGGGUACUCGAGUGGCGAACGGGUGAGUAACACGUGGGUGAUCUGCCCUGCACUUCGGGAUAAGCCUGGGAAACUGGGUCUAAUACCGGAUAGGACCACAUUUUGGAUUGUGUGGUGGAAAGUUUUUCGGUGUGGGAUGAGCUGGCGGCCUAUCAGCUUGUUGGUGGGGUAAUGGCCUACCAAGGCGUCGACGGGUAGCCGGCCUGAGAGGGUGUACGGCCACAUUGGGACUGAGGUACGGCCCAGACUCCGACGGGAGGCAGAAGUGGGGAAUAUUGCACAAUGGGCGCAAGCCUGAUGCAGCGACGCCGCGUGGGGGAUGACGGCCUUCGGGUUGUAAACUACUUUCGCUAGGGACGAAGCGUUAUGUGACGGUACCUGGAGAAGAAGCACCGGCUAACUACGUG
Molecule: ribosomal RNA, 466 nt
Filed under: uncultured bacterium
Lineage: Bacteria
Description: partial 16S ribosomal RNA
Rfam family: Bacterial small subunit ribosomal RNA
Source: RNAcentral